This is a non-coding RNA of Acanthosepion pharaonis, 114 nucleotides long. The record is from the annotation of a GenBank genome assembly. NCBI's taxonomy places the organism in Eukaryota, Metazoa, Mollusca, Cephalopoda, Sepiida, Sepiidae.
UUGCGGUUAUAUCACGUUGAAGUAACUAUUCCUGUACAAUCACCAAAGUUAAGCAACGUGGAGCCUGGUGAGUACCUAGAUGGGUGAUCGCGUGGAAAUACUAGCUGCUGUAAG